This 460-nucleotide ribosomal RNA is filed under the name uncultured bacterium. RNAcentral describes it as "partial 16S ribosomal RNA". It matches the Rfam family "Bacterial small subunit ribosomal RNA", at positions 338 to 795 of the family's 1533-position model. The record is from RNAcentral.
CCUACGGGUGGCUGCAGUGGGGAAUAUUGGUCAAUGGGCGCAAGCCUGAACCAGCCAAGUCGCGUGAAGGAUGACUGCCCUACGGGUUUUAAACUUCUUUUAUAAAGGAGUAAAGUGAGGCACGUGUGCCUUUUUGUCUGUACUUUAUGAAUAAGGAUCGGCUAACUCCGUGCCAGCAGCCGCGGUAAUACGGAGGAUCCGAGCGUUAUCCGGAUUUAUUGGGUUUAAAGGGAGCGUAGAUGGGUUGUUAAGUCAGUUGUGAAAGUUUGCGGCUCAACCGUAAAAUUGCAAUUGAUACUGGCAGCCUUGAGUACAGUUGAGGUAGGCGGAAUUCGUGGUGUAGCGGUGAAAUGCUUAGAUAUCACGAAGAACUCCGAUUGCGAAGGCAGCUUACUAAACUGCCACUGACAUUGAUGCUCGAAAGUGUGGGUAUCAAACAGGAUUAGAUACCCCUGUAGUC